This is a long non-coding RNA of Lathyrus oleraceus (garden pea), 765 nucleotides long. RefSeq lists it as uncharacterized. The record is from RefSeq and is a predicted model, not a curated record. Lineage: Eukaryota; Viridiplantae; Streptophyta; Magnoliopsida; Fabales; Fabaceae. The transcript is spliced from 2 exons.
AGAAAUUUAGAAGCAAUUUCAAAAUAAUAAUCUCAAACGCUCUUCAGAUGCCCUAAUAUGAGCCAAAGCUCCGUCGUGCUGGAAAUCGCCUCUGGCGGCGGCGGAGGUCCAAGCAGCUCCUUCCUUACCUCAAACAACUCGUCUACACCCCCUCUUCCAUAAUAUACAACUUAUUUCCCUUAAUUCCUAUCCAAAACCCUUAACCGAGUUGAAAACUACAUCAACCCUAAAACAAAAAUUUGAAAUUAAAUCAAAGAGGGGGGAAUUUGAGCCAGCUACCAAAUGGCUUCAAUUCCCCUUACAUGAAAUUACAUUAUGGAAAAUGAAUUAGAGCAAGGAGAUGAAGGAAGCAGAAUACACCAAUCUACAGAGUCGACUGCUGAGGAUCGAAGUUGAUGAGAUUGAAGAGUGGAGAAGGCUAGUAGAUGAGUCUGGGUUGGUGUAUCUUAAUGAAUUGAACAAGAUUUGGCAAAGCUUUAUGGUCAAUUUGGCAAGGUUAUCAAGUGGCUAGAUAUGGCAUGGACUGGGCAUAAAGAUACACUUGAAGGCUUUUGGAGGAGUAUUGAAUGGCUUGCAACUUAAUGAAAGAGUAUGAUUAGGGUUUAGGAGAAGGUCUUGGUUGACUUUUGUCAAAUAUUGACCAAAAAGUCAAUAGUUGACCAAAUUCAACUUUAGGUCAACAAUGUGUAUUUUGUGUAAACUUUUGAUUUUUGACCCUUUUUGUAGUGAAAUUGAUGAUUUGGUAAUGAAGGGGCCCAUUGAAUA